CCUACGGGAGGCAGCAGUGAGGAAUAUUGGUCAAUGGGCGGGAGUCUGAACCAGCCAAGCCGCGUGAGGGAAGAAGGUACAGCGUAUUGUAAACCUCUUUUGUCAGGGAAUAAAGGCGGGUACUCGUCCCCGGCUGAGGGUACCUUACGAAUAAGCAUCGGCUAACUCCGUGCCAGCAGCCGCGGUAAUACGGAGGAUUCGAGCGUUAUCCGGAUUUAUUGGGUUUAAAGGGUGCGCAGGCGGCCUGUUAAGUCAGCGGUAAAAGCCCGGGGCUCAACCCCGGCGAGCCGUCGAAACUGGCGGGCUGGAGUGGGAGAGAGGUAGGCGGAAUGUGCGGUGUAGCGGUGAAAUGCUUAGAGAUCGCGCAGAACCCCGAUUGCGAAGGCAGCGUACCGGGUCAACACUGACGCUGAGGCACGAAAGCGUGGGUAUCGAACAGGAUUAGAUACCCUGGUAGUC
RNAcentral lists this ribosomal RNA (459 nucleotides) under uncultured bacterium. Its description in RNAcentral is "partial 16S ribosomal RNA". It matches the Rfam family "Bacterial small subunit ribosomal RNA", at positions 338 to 795 of the family's 1533-position model. The record is from RNAcentral.